Punica granatum (pomegranate) is the source of this 793-nucleotide non-coding RNA. The record is from RefSeq and is a predicted model, not a curated record. NCBI's taxonomy places the organism in Eukaryota, Viridiplantae, Streptophyta, Magnoliopsida, Myrtales, Lythraceae.
UAGCGGAAGAGCGUGGUCAGCGUUCUGGUGGCAAUGGCCAGACGGAGGGAAUGAUUUGGUGGGCUUCGUCUUCUUCCUCUUCGUUUCUCCUUAGGCGAGAAUAUGGGAACAAAUUGAGGGAUUUAUGCCUCCCAUCCUUCCAUCUAUAUCUGUGUUUGUGCUAGAGAGAAGCUGGGUAGAAUUGAUCAAAAUUAGGGUUCAUAUUUGAUGAAUUUGGGUUAAUAUUUAUUUAAGAAUUUUUUCUGAGAAAGAACGAGCAAUUGUUACGAGAACCUGUUUUAAUUAAGCUUAGAUCCAUUGCGUGUAUUUGAUGGGCUAAGAGUGAUCAGGAAGGCAUUGGGAGCAAAUCUUGAACUUUUGUGGACAUUGAUAAUAUAUAUAUGUAGAUCAGUAGAUGAUCAAUUCUUGAAAGAAUAAAUUAAUCAAUUAGACGGUGACUGAUUGCUGAGAAGGUAAGAUAGCAAUCAGGGCGGAAGCCACCUCGACUGUUCAGCAAGAAAUUUACCGAACCGUGAGGCCAGGAGGAAAGGGAGAGGAAGGCGAGGAGUCGGGCUCGGAGCUGGAGCCAGAACUGGGAAGGGCUAGCGGUCUCGGGUCGGUGAAAAUUGUCGACGAGAUUGAAUUUUUCAUGGGCGAUUUCAGGGAUUCUCUGAGAUUGUAUGUUGGCUUCAAUAGUUUCUUGUUCGAUUGGAGACGGGGAACAAAAGACAACGUUGUAUAGCAUUUCUUUAUUUUUUUUUGUAAUCAAAUUAUGUUUUAUUUAGUUGGACCGGUGCAAUUUGGUUCGGUUUAA